CACAAUGGCAGGUUGACCUGUCAGUGAUUGUGUGCUUUAUUCAUGACACAGGUGGAGCUGUGGUUUAAAUCACUUAGCCUCUUGGGCUUGCUGAUCAGAAGGUCAGUGGUUUGAAUCCCUGCGACGGGGUGAGCUCCUGUUGCUCUGUCCCACCUCCGGCCAACCUAGCAGUUCGAAAGCACACCAAGGCAAGUAGAUAAAUAGGUAGUGCUGCGGCGGGAAGGUAAACAGUGUUUCUGUGUGUUCUGGUUUCUGUCAUGGUGUUCCAUUGCGCCAGAAGCAGUUUAGUCCUGCUGGCCACAAGACCCGGAAAGCUGUCUGUGGACAAACGCCGGCUCCCUCGACCUGAAAGCAAGAUGAGCGCCGCAACCCCAUAGUUGCCUUUGACUGGACUUAACCGUCCAGGGGUUCUUUACCUUUACCUUUUACUCCUGAUAUAGGGUAUAUAUAGAUAUAGGUCCUGGUACAAGUGGAAAUUUGGAGAAAGCCAACUGGCACAUCUCUGAUCUCUCCAUGCAUUCAUAACCUCCAUCGAAUGUUUGCACUCUUGUUACAAUUCAUCUGGCAAACACACAAUUAUAUCUUACCUGUUUCCUGUGUCUAUAAUGACUCUAUCAGCAGACUUCAAAUGGCAUGAGAUUGAGGGAGUACUGUUUGGGGGGGGGAUGGGUGGGAAUAGCUUAGUUUCUAUGAAUUGUUAAGAUCUAUGUAGCAAAAACAGACAACUAUCUUCAGCAAGACCACCCUUAUAUAUUUUGAUUCUGUUUCAAACAGUAACAAGUCUUCUUUUCUCCAGAUAAUUUGUAUUGCAUCCCCUCGUGUGGCUCUGAGGCUCAGUGACCAGACUUCACUGGUACAUCUUCAGCUCCCCGUUCUCUCUGCUAGGCAUGGAAGGAUCUGUCAAUUUCCGUUCUCCUGGUUUCCACUCUUUCCAAUCUGAAAUUCCGCUCUUCACAUUUUG
Non-coding RNA from Podarcis lilfordi (Lilford's wall lizard), 961 nucleotides. Lineage: Eukaryota; Metazoa; Chordata; Lepidosauria; Squamata; Lacertidae. The record is from the annotation of a GenBank genome assembly.